RNAcentral lists this small RNA (3161 nucleotides) under Pan troglodytes (chimpanzee). RNAcentral's name for it is "retained intron". Lineage: Eukaryota; Metazoa; Chordata; Mammalia; Primates; Hominidae. The record is from RNAcentral.
UUUCAGCACCAGAAAAAACUCAAUGGUAUGUGCCUAAUACAGCUUGUUGGACUAAACAAUUCUUUGAUGUCCAUAGUGUGUCCUUGUGCUUUGUGGGAUGUUUACUCUGGGGAGCCAAGCAGUUUUUUGGUAAUUGAUCUUUGGCUCUUUUUUUUUUGAGACAGGGUCUCGCUCUGUCACUCAGGCUGGAGUGCAGUGGUGUGAUCCCAGCUCAUUGCAACCUCUGCCUCCCAGGUUCAAGCGAUUCUCCUGCCUCAGCCUCUCGAGUAGCUGGGACUACAGGCGCCCACCACCAUGCCUGGCUAAUUUUUAUAUUUUUAAUAGAGACGGUGUUUCACCAUAUUGGCCAGGCUGGUCUCAAACUCCUGACCUUGUGAUCUGCCCGCCUUGGCCUCCCAAAGUGCUGGGAUUACAGGUGUGAGCCACCCGCCUGGCCGAUCUUUGGCUCUCUUUCUAGAAAUUAAACACAUUUUCUUUUUUACAUUCUUUUUUUUUUUCUUUUCCUGGAAAUGAAAUCUUGCUGUGUUGCCCGGGGUGGAGUAUAGUGGGUGGUCUCGGCUCACUGCAACCUCCACCUUCCAGGUUCAAGCAAUUCUCCUGCUUCAUCCUCUUGAGUAGCUGGGAUUCCAGGUGUGCACCACCAUGCCCAGCUAACUUUUUGUAUUUUUAGUAGAGACGGGGUUUCACUAUGUUGGCCAGGCUGGUCUUGAACUCCUGACCUCAGAUGACCCAUGUGCCUCAGCCUCCCAAAGUGCUGCACCGCUCCUGGCCCUUCUUUUUUUACAUCCUUAAAAGUGUUAUUAGCUUCAGAAGUCUUCUCUCCUCUGGAAUUCUCCUACCAUUUAUUUAUUUAUUUAUUUUUGCUUUUUUCUUUUCAUGAGAGUUUUACCAAUAUCUACUUCACAUCACAUACCAUAAAAUUCACCCUUUUAAAGUUUACAAUUUAAUGGUUUUUAGUAUAUUCAUAGAGUUAUGUAACCAUUACCACUAUCCAAUUUCAGCACAUUUCCAUUGUCCCUUAGGGAAACCCCAUACCCAUUUGCUGUCACUCCCCAUUGCUCCCUGCCCCCAGCCUCUGUCAACCACUAAUCUACUUUCUGUUUCUACAGAUUUGCUUAUUUUGGACAUUCCAUAUAAAUGGAAUGUCCGUUUGAGCCAUGUGUCUGACUUCUUUCACCUAGCAUAAUAUUCUGAAGGUUUACCUGUGUUAACAGUACUUCCACAUUCAGUUUUUCUGGUCACUGAAUUUCUCUCCAUAUCUUAUUAGUUAGUUUUUUUCUUUUUGAGUCGGAGUGUUGCUCUGUCGCCCAGGAUGGAGUGCAGUUGCACGAUCUUGGCUCAAUUGCAACCUCUGCCUCCUGGAUUCAAGUGAUUCUCCUGCUUCAGCUUCCUGAGUAGCUGGGAUUACAGGUACGCGACACCACACCCAGCUAAUUUUUGUAUUUUUAGUAUGGGGUUUCACCAUGUUGGCCAGGCUGGUCUUGAGCUCCUGACCUCAAGUGAUCCGCCCACCUCAGCCUCCCAAAGUGCUGGGAUUACAGGCGUGAGCCACCAUGCCUGGCCAGUAGUUAGUUCUUUUCCAACUUUUUAGCAGGUGGCUCAUUUCUUUUUAAAGACUCAGUUCUUGGCCCAGCCCAUCGACAUCCUACUUCCCUUGAUUACAGAGGCACGGCACUUCAUAGAACUCUAGCAAUCCUCAGCAUUAUCUUCCCACAGUGCCCUGCUAUUGUUUUCUCUUAUGAUUGUUGCCUAAAGUUUCAACGCUACUGAAAUGGCUAUGUACAACUUUCAUCAUUUUAGAGCAUCUAAGAAUGUCAAUUAACAAUUUAAGGCAAUAAUUUAAUCUUGUUUUCUGAGGAAAUCUUCCUAGAAUUUUUGGCUGCCAUUUCAGAACUUUCCCAAGGGUCCUUUCAAACCAGUAGAAAACUAUAUAAUCCUUUGGCUAUACUUUUACUAUAUAGUAGCUCCCCAUACUUUUUUUUUUUAAUAGAGACUAUGUUGCCCAGGUUGGACUUGAACUCUUGGGCUUAAACAAUCCUACCUACCUACCUACCUCAGGGUCCUGAGUAGCUGAGACUACAGGUGCAUGCCGUCAUGCCCAGCUUCUCCACAUAACUAUUUUUUACUCUUUAGGGUAUUAAGAGACCAGCCCCGCAGCCUGCUUCAGGGGCAAACAUCCCCAAAGAAUCUGAGUUCUGCAGUAGCAGUAAUACUAGAAAUGGUGACUAUCUGGAUGUUGGCAUUGGGCAGGUGUCUGUGAAAUACCCCCGGCUCAUCUAUAAACCAGAGAUAUUCUUUGCCUUUGGAUCUCCCAUUGGAAUGUUCCUUACUGUCCGAGGACUAAAAAGAAUUGAUCCCAACUACAGAUUUCCAACGUGCAAAGGUUUCUUCAAUAUUUAUCACCCUUUUGAUCCUGUGGCCUAUAGGAUUGAACCAAUGGUGGUCCCAGGAGUGGAAUUUGAGCCAAUGCUGAUCCCACAUCAUAAAGGCAGGAAGCGGAUGCACUUAGAACUGAGAGAGGGCUUGACCAGGAUGAGUAUGGACCUUAAGAACAACUUGCUAGGUUCGCUGCGGAUGGCCUGGAAGUCUUUUACCAGAGCUCCAUACCCUGCCUUACAAGCUUCAGAAACACCAGAAGAAACUGAAGCAGAACCUGAAUCAACUUCAGAGAAGCCUAGUGAUGUUAACACAGAAGAGACCUCUGUGGCAGUUAAAGAAGUCCUGCCUAUCAAUGUGGGGAUGCUGAAUGGAGGCCAACGCAUUGACUAUGUGCUACAGGAGAAGCCUAUUGAAAGUUUUAAUGAGUAUUUAUUUGCUUUACAAAGCCAUCUAUGCUACUGGGAGUCUGAAGAUACAGUAUUGCUGGUCCUCAAAGAGAUCUACCAAACCCAGGGUAUCUUCCUUGAUCAGCCUUUACAGUAAAAAUGACCCAUCUAUGGCUGCUUAAUACGGACAUUGAGGGAUCCUUCCCCAGAAAAUCCACCUGUUUGUUGCUGCAAUUUUCCUCUCCUCAGCUGCGUCAUUUCCUGCAUGUUGCCUGCCACUUACUCACCACUGGGGUCUUUGGAAGAUAAUCUUCCUCUUUGGAAAUGAAUGGAAAAGCAAAAGGCCCUAUUACUUUUAACCACUGGCUUCAUAUAAACACUUGCCAUUUUUUCUGC